RNAcentral lists this ribosomal RNA (253 nucleotides) under uncultured bacterium. RNAcentral describes it as "partial 16S ribosomal RNA". It matches the Rfam family "Bacterial small subunit ribosomal RNA", at positions 524 to 776 of the family's 1533-position model. The record is from RNAcentral.
UACGUAGGAUGCAAGCGUUGUUCGGAAUUACUGGGCGUAAAGCGCACGUAGGUGGCGACGUAAGUCGGGUGUGAAAGCCCCGGGCUCAACCUGGGAAUUGCAUUCGAUACUGGAUAGCUAGAGUUCGGCAGAGGGAAGCGGAAUUUCUGGUGUAGCGGUGAAAUGCGUAGAUAUCAGAAGGAACAUCAGUGGCGAAAGCGGCUUCCUGGACCAGAACUGACGAUCAGGCUCGAAAGCGUGGGGAGCAAACAGG